Austrofundulus limnaeus is the source of this 537-nucleotide long non-coding RNA. RefSeq lists it as uncharacterized. NCBI's taxonomy places the organism in Eukaryota, Metazoa, Chordata, Actinopteri, Cyprinodontiformes, Rivulidae. The transcript has 2 exons. The record is from RefSeq and is a predicted model, not a curated record.
CGUACAUGUAUUGUUGCAGCCCUACUAAGUGUGUUGGAGUGUGUUUUGUUUGUGGUUGGUGUUGUUCACACUUGCCUUCCAGAGUCAGACUGGCAUGGGCGGAUUCUGYAAUCUACUCACCUGUCCUGGAUUCUGCUGAUGAGGGCAGCUGGUACUUAAACUCCUGGAAGUGGUCCAUUCCUCGCCGGAUUAUUCAGUGACCCUGGUACUAAGAGCUUAAGGACCUUUGGACUUCGACCUCCCUUCCUGGAAACUUUCACCUGAUGAUCCGCAUCCUCCGUCCUGCCACUCUCUCUCUCUCCCUGGACCUGGAAAACAAACAAACAAACCUUGGAACCUGCAAAACACUUCCUGGAUUUCCUCUGCCUCCCCCAUCGGAGCAAGCCUCCUUCUCAAAGCCUGUAAGAAACAAAAACAUCUCCUUCAAAAUUUAUUCAUCUUGACUCCUGUGAACAGUGAAACUAAUACUCUCAUUUCCUCUUUUCAGGACGAGUCCAUUCACAACCUGCACUGUAAAUAAAAAUCACUUUAACUUUU